This 453-nucleotide long non-coding RNA is filed under the name Acromyrmex echinatior (Panamanian leafcutter ant). RNAcentral's name for it is "uncharacterized LOC105152132, transcript variant X2". Lineage: Eukaryota; Metazoa; Arthropoda; Insecta; Hymenoptera; Formicidae. The record is from RNAcentral.
CUGUGGGUCAGAGAUGAGUUGUUCGUUUGUUGAUCAUUUUAUUUGGAGUCAUUUAAGAGAAGGAGAGUUCGGUGACAAAUGGAUUAGCUACAAUGCCUAGCAGAUUAUUGCACAAACUCUAGGAAAAAGAGUUUGAAGAUAUGUCAUUUUUUUCGAGACAAAAAAACGAAAAAUUUAGGCUGAAAACACAGGAUGACAAGACUGAACUCUGUCUAAUACUUCAGUGUUAUGUGAGAUAUAUUUUAAUGCAGAAAUGUGGACUGAAUCGAAAAUUAGAAACGGCAAGGGUAUUCUGAAAAAAAUGCUAUUCCAACUGUUUCGUGGACUCGUACUUCAGAAUACACAGAAAGGUGUAUAUAGGAUGUAUUGAUUUAUUAUUUUGUAUUAUUAUGCAAUUCUAUUGUCACUGAUAAUGUUUUGGAUGUAAAUUGACAAAUUGUAUAUCGUAUAAUA